GUCCACGCCGUAAACGAUGCGCACUAGGUAUGAAAGGUUUUAACGCCGAUCGUGCCGGAGCAAAAGUGCUAAGUGCGCCGCCUGGGGAGUACGGCCGCAAGGCUAAAACUCAAAGGAAUUGACGGGGGCUCACACAAGCGGUGGAGCAUGUGGAUUAAUUCGAAGCAACGCGAAGAACCUUACCUGGGUUUGACAUGCUAGGAUGCUCUUCUGGAAACAGGAGUAGGCUGCCUUCGGGUGAAACUAGCACAGGUGCUGCAUGGCUGUCGU
Molecule: ribosomal RNA, 270 nt
Filed under: uncultured bacterium
Lineage: Bacteria
Description: partial 16S ribosomal RNA
Rfam family: Bacterial small subunit ribosomal RNA
Source: RNAcentral